AUGGCAAACGUCUCGGCAGAGCAGCGGAUGCACUUGGUGCUAUGCAGGGAGGAGAGAGGCGUGCAUGAACUUUUUACUGCAUCUGACCUUUUGAAUAUUGCAUAUAUGAACUUAUCCAGUGAGCCAAGAUUGCAUAUAGGGGGCCUUGUUGCUCCGACGUGUGUAUGGUGGCCAGAGUGGAGCAUCGACGGCGGUGGCAUGGAGGUUCGUGAAAGGAGGCACAGAAGAAGGGGCCACGCGCCUCGCCGGAUAUCGAGCCGCCCGCCACCAAGGGGAUCCCGUCUAGGAGGUGUGGGCUGUAGUUAG
RNAcentral lists this ribosomal RNA (306 nucleotides) under Triticum aestivum (bread wheat). RNAcentral's name for it is "partial small subunit ribosomal RNA". Lineage: Eukaryota; Viridiplantae; Streptophyta; Magnoliopsida; Poales; Poaceae. The record is from RNAcentral.